GUUGUCCCGGCCGGCUGCUUCCGAUGCCCUCAAGAAAGGUUCCGGGCAAAGUCCGACGGAUGUAGGAAAGCGGGAAAGGUCGGCUGUGGUGCACGGAUGUGGAGCGGAGCUAUAGUCCCCAAGGCGCGUGGUCGUUUGUGAUAAUUUAAGUGAAGAAUAAUAUGAUCGAAUUGAUGUUUGAGAAGGAAAACGAGGAUAUCGUGGAGUAAGAUUGAUUCGAGAAGUGGAAAGCAGGUACAAAGAGUGUGGCACCCUUGCUUGAGUUCCUCGUCACAUGUGGCCAGGAAGGGGCUGCGAGCCAAGACAGCUAAGAGAUGGGCCUGAGGCCUGUGCUGAGCCCAGUGAGGACAUUCUUCCCGUCACCUCAUGAGGGAGUGAAGCCCUUGGUAGUCGCCUGGAGAUCUACCACGGAUCCUAUCCACUGAUUCUCUGUGCGCCUGUGAUAUCCUUCCAAUACCUAUUUCCUUUCCCUUGAAUUAGCCAUUUCAUUCGCUUUUUCUUUUUCUUUUUUGUCUGUUUAAUAUUUAUUUGAUUUUGAGAGAGCACAAGCGGGGGAGGGGCAGAGAGAAGGGGACAGAGGAUCCAAAGUGGGCUGUGCCACUGACAGGCUGACAGCAGCGAGCCCGACGUGAGGCUCAAACUCACAAGCCACGAAAUUAUGACCUGAGCUGAAGUCGGACGCUCACUCAACUGACAGAGCCACCCAGGUGCUCGUCAUUCACUUUCUUAAAUUGCAAGAAAAACAUGUUCACACAAUAACAGAAAUGCAAUACACUAAAGCUGGAGUUCUCUCCCUAGGAAAACCACUGUUAUCAGUUUGAUAUGUGUAUGUAUCCUCACAAAUUUUUUCUGUGCAUAUAGAGACAGAGAUGGACUAGAUCUCUAUUUAAUUUGGGAUUAUGGGAGACAGAAGGCAUUUUUACCAAAAAUAGGGAGUCAUACGAAGUUACUCUUUUUUUUUUAACUUGUUUUAAUGUGUAUUUGUUUUUGAGAGAGACAGAGACAGAGCACAGGCGGGGGAGGGGCAGAGAGAGAGAGAGAGAGGGAGACACAGAAUCUGAAGCGGGCUCCAGGCUCCGAGCCGUCAGCACAGAGCCCGACACGGGGCUCAAACUCAUGGAUCACGAGAUCGUGACCUGAGCCAAAGUCAGACACUUAACCGACUGAGCUACCCAGGCCCCUCAAGGAUGCACAUCUUUUUCAAAAUGUAUUAGCCCAGGCACCUGGGUGGCUCAGUCGGUUGUGUCCAACUUCGGCUCAGGUCAGGAUCUCACGGUUUGUGAGUUCAAGCCCCGUGUCAGGCUCUGUGUUGACAGCUCAGAGCCUGCUUUGGAUCCUCUGUCUCCCUUUCUCUCUACCCCUCCCCUCCCCUCUCUCCCUCUCUCUCAAAAAUAAACACACACACACAAAAUAAAUUUUUAAAUGACAGUAAUAACAAAUGCAUUAGUCGAUUUGCUUGUAGAGUUUUUUAUUUCUUGAUUUCUUCAUGUAUUAGAAAUAUGAACAUUUUACGGGUACCCGGGUGGCUUGCUCAGUUAAGCAUCCAACUAUUGAUUUUGGCUUAGAUCAUCUCACAGUUGUGAGAUCAAGCUCCACAUCAGGCUAUGCACUGAGUGUAGAGCCUGCUUAAGAUUCUCUCUCGCCCUGUCCCUCUGCCCCUCCCCUGUGCAUUCUCAAAAAAAAAAAAAAAAUGAACAUAAUGAUUAUCAGUUAUAUACUGCAAUCAUUCUCUCCAAAUUAGUGAUUUAUCUUAAAUUUUGAUUUUGGUGUCUUUGGCUGCAUAUACAUUCUUUAUAAUUUCUAUGUUUUUUCUUUAUGGCUGCUAGUUUCCUGAUCACACUCAAGAAAGUUCUCCCUGCCCCCAAACUAUACAUGAACAUAUUUAUAUGCAUUUUCCCCCAGAGGCACCAUGGUGUAGUGGUUAGUUGUAGAAGGAGAAAUUCUGUAGCUGGACCUUAGGUCCAAAUCCCAGCUCUGGCAUUUAUCAGUUGCAUAACCCUGGUUAAUCUCUCUGUGCCUUAAUUUUCUCAUUAGUAAAAUGGGGUUGUGGUGGUGGGGAUUAAGUGAGUUUAUAUAUGUAAAGCAUUUAGAAUAGUGCCUAGCAUAUAGAAAUACUUGUUCCUUUAUAGUUUUCUUUUUUUUACAUUUAGAUCUUUUUUUCUUUUGCGUGUUUUUUUUUUUUUUUUCUCAAGUGGAUAGCCAGUUUUAUAAAAUAGUCUGGUUUUCCACUGAUUUGAAAUGCUACCUUUAGGGUAUAGUGAGGAACAGCCCAUCCCUAGGAGGGCCCUAAAAGGCCUCAACCAGUUCAGAGCCAAUCAUAACUGCACUUGAAAGGAGGUUGUUCAGUUAUUACUUUGUGGACUCCUUGGGAUCCUGCUGAAAGCAGAAAUUGUGAAAUCGAAUUUAACAAUGUUCAGAAACUUGGCGGCCCCUCCCUCCCCUCUGAACUCCACCCAAACACAGGGCCAGGAAGGCCACCCCAGUAGCCCUACUCAAGGGAAAAAGCCUGAGGAGGGACGUGUUGUUGGGAAACCACGCCCACUCUAAAAAUGCGCAAAACACAAGCUGUUUUCUGCAGCGUAAUCAUGGCAAGAGAAAAAGUGAAGCAAACUCAGUCGUGCUGAACUUUAUACUAGAACAGAGAGUAUGUACAUAUAAGAUGGGAGGCAUUUACUGUGAGGGUGGCUGGAGCUAGUGGAAAGUUUCUUCAGCCUAAGAGGCUCAUCCGCAUGAAACGUCUACUGUGUAGGGCCUGGCUGAGAACCAUCCAGAUUGAACUUCAGCUCCAACCCUGGCACCCAGAGUCCAUCACAAACACGUCAACUGUAUUUUAGGGUGUGCUGCCACCUCCUGGCCAAACUCGUGUUGCUGUCACAUCACAGGCAGUUGUAGCAAAAAGUGACGCAGCCACACAAGUGCAAUCCGGUAACCCCAAACCCCACCAAACACACCCGCAAGCUGCUGGCUGACAUUCCGUGGUGACUACAGGUGGUGCCACUCAGCUGCUAGGGGUCUAUGAUGGGGCGUAUUGGGCAAGCAGAUCUGAACAGUGGGGUGAGCCUAAAUAAAAAAUUCAAAUAUCCUGGGGUGCCUGGGUGGGGGUGGGGGGGUGUUCAGUCGGUUGAGCACCCGACUCUUGGUUUCGGCUCAGGCCAUGAUCUCACAGUUCAUGGGUUCAAGUCCCACAUUAGGCUAUGCACUGGCAGCGUGGAGCCUACUUGGGAUUUUCCCUCUCUCUCUCUCUCUCUCUCGCUCUCGCUCUCACUCUUUCUCUGCCCCUCCCACACUCUCUCUCUCCCUCUUGCUCUCUCUCAAAUAAACUUAAAAAAUUUUUUUAACCUUUUAAAAAGAAAAUUCAAAUAUUCCAAAUGCAGAAACACCAGUAUAUAGAUUCCGUUCUCUCACAGUGAAAUAAAGAGGAGCCAGGCCCAUGCCUGGGCUCAGCGCUCUGCAAGUUCAUGCUGAAAAGCUGGAGAAAAGGCUGUGAAUCCAGGAAGAGGCUCUGAAAAGUGAAUUGCUAUCACUCGACUUCGCCCGCAUCUUCUCUGCUGUCCUACCUCCCAUCCGCCUGCCCCGCCCUCUGGUAGCCAUAAGGCCAGGCACCCAGAAGUCCAGAGCAACAUGCCUGGGGCAGUAAGACUUUCCAUCGCUCUCUAAGGCACACCGAAAGGCCUCUGACUGCCGAGGUCCCAGUGGAAACGGAAGGAAUAGGGGGCGUCUUCCUAACCUGGGGAGGGAAGGGAAAACAAAGCCAAGGAGAUGUCAACUAAAAUGUGAAUGUGAUCUUUAUUAUACAGCACAUGUGGUAUCUGUACAUCCCAACAAGUAUACAGGAUACUCUAUAAAACCAAACCUGACCACUCCAAGUUACACUGGACGAAGAUUUAACCCAAAGUCACGUCUUGUAAAAACACAACGCGGUCCUGUGUGCCAUGUUCCGGAUCGAGGCAGCACAAGAAGGGAGAGGAGAAGGACUGGGUUUGGGCCAACGUAACAUCCUCUGGUUAUUGCACUUUCAUUCUACACACUCAGUACGUUAUGCUUUUAUUAACACUGUACUAGACAUUAGUCCUUUUGAAACAAAUAAAAAUAUUACAUAAAGGUAAAAGACAACAAGCCAUCCAGACCAAUUUUCUUUUCAACCCUCCGAGUCAGGUGGCCUCCCCCAACUCCAGGUAUUCACAUGGUCUCUACGCUCCUCUCAACUGGACUGGAUGUUAACAAAGCAGAUGUAGUUAAACAUAAAACCCUUUUAAGAACAGUAGUGCUACUUGCAACCCCCAAAGGAGAGUGCGAUACAAGUUUCUGAAGGUUACCCCCCCUCCCCCCCUUAUCCACUUUGCCGCAGCACUGGCCCUAACCACUCCCCCCGGAGUUAGAAGGAGCAAUCCACUUUUUUGUUGUUGUUUUAAAGAAAAAGUAGGUUACUUGAUCCAGCAAAUCCAAAAAUCAAGCUUUGAAAACUCAAAGAAGCAACUAGUCUUUUGGCAAAGGACUCGUCAAGGGCCAUUUAUCCCGCUCUGAAGCAGUAUGGACCCUGGCUGGAGUCUCCCUAGUUAGCCAGAUGGGAGACCAGGCGUGCCUUCUCUCCAGAGCAAGGCCAGAGGGAAUCUCUACUCCCCAUGGGCUACUGUCAUCACCGAUCCCUCCUGGCUUCUCAGUGCUAAAUAAUAAGCCAAUAACAAUAAUAAUAAUAAUAAUAAUAAUAAUAAUAAUAAAGUGUCAUGCAGUGCAGUUAUCACUUUGGAGCCCUGCCACGCCAACCUCUUCUCUCAUCAGGGAAAGACUUCUGGCCCCUCUUUGGCAGCUCAGGUAAAGAUGCAUCCAGAUGCUGACAGGGACUGGCGGAGAGUUCUACCGUUCCCGUUUCCAUCUGUCGUAGUUAAUAAUAGCCUUUCCUUCAACGUUUCCCUGAACUUUAGUGUUAAAAAAUCAGGAGAAGCUGCUGUCUGGGCUCUGUUCCCUUGAAACUGAUGGAGUCACAAGUGAUUCUCUUUGGUCCGGAAAGAACCAACACUGCCCGCUUUCCCAGAGAAGUGGAAGGCUCGCUCAACCCGCGAGCCGCGUGCCUGUGGAAACCUCACCCAGGCGAGCAUUCCUCAAGUCAUGCCAGACUGCCCUCGCUGCCAGCUCCCUGGGCACAGUGUCAGCCACUCCGGGGCUCCGGGCUUCAUCUAUUUUUCUGAUUGCUCUGCAAGAAGGUCCCUCACUCGGUUCUGAAGUCACGUAAGGGACCGGACUUCAAGCACAUUAAAAAUGGCCAGGUGAUCAUUUUCGGGCUGGGGUAAACCGCCCUGAUGAAGUGAUUAGAAGGACAGAACACAGUGAGGGUCAUUCUUCCAUCCCGUCCUUCCUCCUCCCCAGCCACAAUCUCACCUCACCGCUCGGGAGCACAUACAACCAAAUCUAGGAGGGAAAACCUUUAGGACUUUGGUCUUGUCGAGCCCUCUAUAGCCCAAGUGCCCCCCAGACUUCUUUGAAUACCUAGUGUCUUCCCAAGUAAUAUACAGUACAGUACAUUUCAUGGCAUCCCAUCACCGUAGUAACAACGGGUGCCAAGGAACAAAGGAUCCGAAAUUAGCGGACAAUGUUAUAAAACAAAAGCAAAGUAUGCAGCGUGUUAUAUAUAUGCACUCCUGCACUCAGCCUGCUGAGUGUUUAAAUAACACCUCCAAAUAUCUAUAUGUGGACUUUGGCUGGCCUGGAGAUUUUCAGGAAUAUUUUGCACCUUUCCUCAGAAUACUUUUUUUUUUUUUUUUAAUGAAUUGUUAACACAACUACCGUCUUACUUAGCACUGGUCCCUCCCAUCCUCCUUCCUCCUCACUCAGGCAAAAAAUCUGCUAGGAAACUGGUGUCUGAGAGCUGACAAGGGACACUGGGUGGAGGACAAGCGACCCUUCCUCCCCGUGAAUGGGGGUGGGAACUAAGACUUCGGAAGAAUGUUAGGAAUGGGACUUCAGCACAGAAGCACAGAUUCCUGAUCCCAGCUAGAGUAAAGGAAGACCGGCUGCAAAAGGGAAGCACAGAAAUCCUUUAUGAAAUCUCAUACAGAACAGACACUGAGACUGUUUUUCCGGCAGGUAGACACUACUCACCUCUCCUUUUUAAACUUGAAAUCUGGCUUCCUGGAAGCCCCAUCAUUGUUUCCAGAAGGACAAACGGGUUAACGUGACAAGAAGAGAGUGAUGAUUUGAAGAAGUAAAGCUAUAAAUAGGUGUUAAGAGACCUACCGAACAUUCUACCAACACAAGGCUGGCGCUCACAGAACCCAAAGAUACUGGGUGUCUCACUUUAUCAUUUGCAAGUAGGAAAGUUUUUAGCACUAUGUGGAGUUUCUGAAGGGCUCCAAGUGCUUAGAGGGUUACUGUGCUCAAACGUAUCAUAAUCCGAGCUCGGGAUAGCCAAAGAGUUAAAACUGAACUUUAGACUCCAUUUCUACUCCGUUAAUGUUUAAGAGAUGGUCAUUCUCUCGGAAACAACCCUACAAAUUUCCAGCAGCAAGUCCGCCCAUCUUCUUACACAUCUACUCAGGGACCUGCUUCACAGAGCUGGAGGUCAGGCACAAGGGACAGACCACAGUGCUUGGGGACUAGGCAGAUGCGACAGAGGCUCCUCACCUCCACUGCCUCUUCCCUCACCUGCCUGGUUUUUUAAAUCUAGAGGACCAUUUUGGUGGAGAGAGGCUCGAAGUCAAGAUCUGAGAGGCACCGAUAUUUAAACUGUUCCCCUUCAGAAUUUCUUACUGUGUACAUCUCCUGACAAAUGCUCACACUGUGUGUGUCCCAACUGCAAGGGAGGGGAACCGCCCCAGAGGCUAACACACAGGGCGAGGAGCACACACAGAGCUACAAAGAGCAUUCUUCUUUUUCAUCUGGUGCUUGUCUUCUUGCCUUGUAUUCAAAACAAGGUAAAAAGAAGGGACGAAUUGUGAAAGAGAUCUCGGUGAAAAAUCUCACUGACCCAAGUUUAAAAACAUCAGUGUGUUAGGUUCAAACACAAAAACGAGAGUUUUUGAUUCUUUUAAGUUUUAGAAACAAUGUGGUAUCUUUCUAGUAGGUUUGCGUGGAAGCUCACGGCCUCCAGAUCACUGCCCCUUCUCAGGUCUCACCAGAUACUCCACAUGGGUCAAUGUUACUCAGACACUCAUCCCCAGGUACCAUGUUAAAUGGACCUUCCCCAUGUUGAAACCCAAAGGGUGGGGGGUAAACGUCAAGAAUGAAGGGAAGAAAAAGAGAUUGGGUCCUGGGGUUGCCAGUAACUCAAAAUCCAAUCGCAUAUGUAUAUAUACACAUAUGCACACACACACAUUUUUUUGCCUUUAUGCGGCCUCUUGGUGAUGUAACCCAUGAAAGCUCCCCCAGAAGUCAGGGAUAUUCGGUCCCAUCAAUGUAAACACGCUGGCACCAUAAGGAGCAGACAGCUCCGUUUCUAGCUCCCUCACCGGGGCCUCAGGCUGCUGCGACCUGAGGUCUCCGGCUGCAGGUAGCGGGAAGUUAUUUUUUUGUUCCGAUGUUCUUACAAUCCCAGAACUAAGUUCAUAUUUUCCAGGGGUCCUGACGACUGGAUAGAACCAGACUAUUCCUAGCUAGAGCCGAAAUUACAAAAAUUCUAAUUUUUAGUACUAUCACCACCGCAGUGCCCCACUUGUCUUAGCAACAUACAGUGAGCAGACGAUGGUGACAUUUGCCUCCUUUUCAGUUCUGGGGCUGGAACGUUGCAUUCUUCAGUGUUUACGUGUCCCACACGAUCUUGUGCGGACGGGAUAGUGUGGGGCAUCGGCGAGCCGCUGAACGCACCCUGACGACCAGCGAGCUCCUCGCUACCUGGCAGGCGCCUCUGCCUGGGAAGGUCUCAAGUUGCCCAGUGGGCAUCAGUUCCCUCAGGAGCUCUCUGAAUAAACGUCCAAUUCUUCCCACGGCCAACAGGUGAGGGGAAGGAAAGAAACAGAGUAAAAGAGAAAGGUCUUUGCUUUCAAGUAGAGUCAUCCAGUCCCCGGUUCGGCUGCUCCGAAGCGGACGCGCACAGCCGGUCCAUGAUGCCCCGGAGCAUGGGCUGCACGAUGCCCAGGAGGGGCCUCUGGGAAGGGUCGCCGUCCCAGCAGGCCUCCAUCAGCUGCCAGCACUCCUCAUCGAACACAGGCAGACGCUCCGGCCGGGCCCCUGGAGACAGGCGCGUGGAAAGAAGACCAGAGUCAGCGACAGGGCCGGUGCCACCACGAGGCCUGACCGGCUCGCAGACCGAUGGCCCAUGUGGGGCUCAGGAGUUCUGGCUUCGACUGCAGACACCUAGGUUAGAACCUGACAGUAACGGUGACAGAACACUGGAACGCACUGGCAUAGGAAGUAGAAGAAUUGGAAAUUUUAAAGAAAAAAAGCCUUGACACGGUUGAGCGCAAUGCUACCUGAAAGCAAAGGGGCGACCUUGGUGUCUUCCCUGGAUUCCCUGACGGUACGUGGCCCUGCGGUGUGACGGCCGGAGCGGGUGACAGGAGGCCCGGCUGCAGGGCCUGGUCUCAGUCUCCCCUUGAUGGGGGCCGGGGCGGGGUCGGGACAGGGUAGGGCUUGUGGCUCUUACCUCUUCGCACAUUGUUCCAGAGAUGGUCUUUGCUGGCACACCUCUCAAAUGCUUCAGGGAGCUUGACAGAGCCCGAGCAGAUAUACCAGAAGAGGAUGCCAAAGGCAUAGACAUCGACGGAGUUGUCGUAUUUCCCUACAGCAAGAAAGGGUGACGGCAGUGAGCCGGGGCGAGAGAUCAGCUGUGCCCCUAUAACUGGGUCUGCAGAGGUCGUCACGCCUUUUUGUCUAAAGCUUUUAACAGCCAUGAUCUCCCACAGCAACCCUGGUAGGCAGGACCGCUGACAACGCCCAUCUUCUACCCAAAACCACAGCACAGGAAGGGUGAUGUGAGACACCAGGAUGGCCAAGACCAGAGCCUGACAGAGGAGAAGGAGGACAGGCCUCUGAUUUUGAUUGAACAGCCAAGAAGACCCAUCCUGACGGGUCGGAUUGGGGAAAUAAGCUUGGGAAACACAGGUGGGUGAGCAGAUUGGAACCAGAAUGUAAAAAUUUUUAAAUUUUUUAAAAAUAAUUAAUUUAUUUUUGAGGGGGGGUGGUGGGGAGGGGCAGAGAGAGAGACGGAGUCCCAAGCAGGCAUGCAGGAGCCUGAUGCGGGGGCUCAAACUCACGAACUGUGAGAUCAUAACCUGAGCUGAAAUCAAGAGAGUCAGGACGCUUAACCAACUGAGCCGCCCAGGCGCCCUUAGAACGUAAAGAUUUUUUUAGUUUAUUUUUUUCUUUCUCAGAGAGAGAGAGAGAAGGGAGAGGAGCAGAGAAAGAGAGAGAGAGAGCGAGAGAGAGAGAGAAUCCCAAGCAGGCUCUGCACUGUCAGCACAGAGCCCAAUGUAGGGCUCGAACUCAUGAGAUCAUGACCUGAGCCUAAAUCAAGAAUUGGACACGUAACCGACUAAGCCACCCAGGCACCUCAGAAUAUAAAGAUUUUUAAAAGACAGAAAAGUCUGGAUUCAAUGGGCAGCAUGAGGUCCUUUAGGUUUUAGGGCAGGAGGUGACACGAAAAACCUAUUUUAGAAAGAUUCUUCUGACAGCAACUGGAUGGACUGCAGAGAAUCAAGGGAAGUGAAAUACCAAGCAGCCAAAAGAAAACAACCGUGGGGGGGGCGGGGAGAGAAAUGUUCCAAGAAGUGAAUUUCGAGAAAGAAAACGACUGUAUGCUGAGUCCACCGUGGGUCCCGCUCACCCCCGCCCUCACGCGCAUCACUCAGGGAAGGGCCGGGGCCGGACCUGUGUGUGAGGCCAACGAGAGCAGGCCACGUACACGGCUCAUUUUAAAUCUUCCCCACGCUGAUGAAGGGCCUGCCGGGACUGUCCCCUCUUCCCCGGCACGGACACAACCCCUUCCCCUCCCCAACCCCUCAGGCUCAAACUCUCGAGUCCUCGUCUGGUCAUCCUUUGCUGUUCACCAUCGACACCUAGUUAACCACAAAAUCCCACCCGUUCCUCCCGUGAACUGAUCCUGAAUCCGGCACGGCUUUUUUGUGUCAGUGCUGCUACCAGCCUGAUCCUGGAGACCCAAACCCCUGGUCUGCCUGCCUUGGUUCUCGCCCCGCAAAGCCCCUCCACCUUCCGCUGCUAAGCUGACCUUCCGUGAACGUGUCCUCAUCCCCCGCCUGCACAGUUCUUUUUUUCAAAUUUUUAGAAUUAUUUUUGAGAGAGACAGAGAGAGAGAGAGCAAGUGGGGAGGGGAAGAGAGAAGAGGGACAGAGGAUCCAAAGCAGGCUUGUGCUGACAGCAGAGAGUCCUAUGUGGGGCUUGAACUCGCAAAUCGUGAGGUCAUGACCUGAGCCUAGGUCAGACGCCUAACAGACUGAGCCACGUGGGCGCCCCAAAAGCUCAAGUUCCAAUAUUUCUUCCACAACGAGACUUUCUUCUUCGGUGUGGAUUUCAAGCUCGGUGUGUUUCAUCUCCAACCUUGUUUGCUUUUACUCCCCACAGGGAUUUGUGCCCUGUCAGGCAAUUUUCCUCAUACUUCCCUUUCCCCAGCCUCCAGAAUGUUCUCUCCUUCCAGACACCUGGUUAGAUUCUAGAGCCAGAAAGACCUAGAUUCCAAUCCCAGCUCCAUCAUUUCUAGCUCAGCAUUGUGGGGUGGCUUUCUGAUGUUCACCAGUCUGGACUUAACUUUACCCGUGACAUGGGCACAAAAAUGCAUCAGCGGCAGCACAGACUUGCUGUGAGGAUUAAAUGGAACAAAAUAUAUGAAAAACCGUACUCGCACUGCCUAGCUCCAAGAACAUGCUUAAUAGCAAUGCCCUGCCCACAUACCAAUUUUUCCCGACUUGACUCAAGUCCUACCCCAAAUCUCAACCAUAAAACUGUCAAACAUUUCAACCUUCACUUACCACCUGUCUGAACACCAGCAUCACAUCAUGUAGCACCCGAUUUAGCACCUGGUCACACAGUCUGAUGCUGCUUCCUAAUUAUUUAACCUCUCUUAAUCUCUGUCAUCAGCGAGUUCAUUGAUGAUCAGGGCCAACUCCUGAUGUACAGAAGUUCUUCAAUCAGGACUUUAUGAUCAACUAACUGGUUGAUUAUGGCAACGACAGCACGAAUAGCCCAGAGAAACGUCCAAAAGCAGACUCGGAAGAAGAUACACUGAUGAUCUUAGAAAAAUUACACGCAGAGCAGUGGGCAAAAUAUUGCUCGACAGGACCUUCACCCGGCUUUCUUUGUGACUUUAUACCAAUUCACUGCUAUUUUUCCAUCUAAAGACAUUCAGGAGAAGAUAUGGUGUCUAACCAAAGGGAAGCAACACACAACAAGUUGAGUCUUAUAAGGCACCAUCAUAAACGCCAAUGACUAGACAAAAAUUUGAGAGAAGCUGAUUUUCCAGCAACACUGUUUCGUAAAUUUCAACGUUAAAAUUUUGCUAGGAGCCUGGA
Acinonyx jubatus (cheetah) is the source of this 11453-nucleotide long non-coding RNA. RefSeq lists it as uncharacterized. The transcript has 5 exons. NCBI's taxonomy places the organism in Eukaryota, Metazoa, Chordata, Mammalia, Carnivora, Felidae. The record is from RefSeq and is a predicted model, not a curated record.